GUACUUGCUUUGGCAGCUCAUUUGCUAAAAUUGGAAUGAUACAGGGAAAAUGAGCAUGGCCCCUGUGCAGGGAUCACGUGCAAAAGGCUAGGUUGGAACCUGGACAGA
This 108-nucleotide small nuclear RNA is filed under the name Vulpes vulpes (red fox). Lineage: Eukaryota; Metazoa; Chordata; Mammalia; Carnivora; Canidae. The record is from RNAcentral.